CCAGACUCCUACGGGAGGCAGCAGUGAGGAAUAUUGGUCAAUGGGCGAGAGCCUGAACCAGCCAAGUCGCGUGAGGGAGUACUGCCCUAUGGGUUGUAAACCUCUUUUGUCGGGGAGCAAAAGCCGGACGUGUCCGUCUGUGAGAGUACCCGAAGAAAAAGCAUCGGCUAACUCCGUGCCAGCAGCCGCGGUAAUACGGAGGAUGCGAGCGUUAUCCGGAUUUAUUGGGUUUAAAGGGAGCGUAGGUGGAUUGUUAAGUCAGUUGUGAAAGUUUGCGGCUCAACCGUAAAAUUGCAGUUGAAACUGGCAGUCUUGAGUACAGUAGAGGUGGGCGGAAUUCGUGGUGUAGCGGUGAAAUGCUUAGAUAUCGCGAAGAACCCCGAUUGCGAAGGCAGCCUGCCGCAGCGUUACUGACGCUGAAGCUCGAAAGCGCGGGUAUCGAACAGGAUUAGAUACCCCAGUAAUG
RNAcentral lists this ribosomal RNA (466 nucleotides) under uncultured bacterium. RNAcentral's name for it is "bacterial SSU rRNA". It matches the Rfam family "Bacterial small subunit ribosomal RNA", at positions 331 to 795 of the family's 1533-position model. The record is from RNAcentral.